This 253-nucleotide ribosomal RNA is filed under the name uncultured bacterium. Its description in RNAcentral is "partial 16S ribosomal RNA". It matches the Rfam family "Bacterial small subunit ribosomal RNA", at positions 524 to 776 of the family's 1533-position model. The record is from RNAcentral.
UACGAAGGGUGCAAGCAUUAAUCGGAAUUACUGGGCGUAAAGCGCGCGUAGGUGGUUCAGUAAGUUGGAAGUGAAAUCCCCGGGCUCAACCUGGGAACUGCUUUCAAAACUGCUGAGCUAGAGUACGGUAGAGGGUGGUGGAAUUUCCUGUGUAGCGGUGAAAUGCGUAGAUAUAGGAAGGAACACCAGUGGCGAAGGCGACCACCUGGACUGAUACUGACACUGAGGUGCGAAAGCGUGGGGAGCAAACAGG